RNAcentral lists this ribosomal RNA (253 nucleotides) under uncultured bacterium. RNAcentral describes it as "partial 16S ribosomal RNA". It matches the Rfam family "Bacterial small subunit ribosomal RNA", at positions 524 to 776 of the family's 1533-position model. The record is from RNAcentral.
UACGUAGGGGGCGAGCGUUGUCCGGAUUUAUUGGGCGUAAAGAGCUCGUAGGCGGCUCGUCGCGUCGACCGUGAAAACCCGCAGCUUAACUGCGGGCUUGCGGUUGAUACGGGCGGGCUAGAGUUCGGUAGGGGAGACUGGAAUUCCUGGUGUAGCGGUGAAAUGCGCAGAUAUCAGGAGGAACACCGGUGGCGAAGGCGGUUCUCUGGGCCGAUACUGACGCUGAGGAGCGAAAGCGUGGGGAGCGAACAGG